GAUGAACGCUGGCGGCGUGCUUAACACAUGCAAGUCGAACGGUGAACACGGAGCUUGCUCUGUGGGAUCAGUGGCGAACGGGUGAGUAACACGUGAGCAACCUGCCCCUGACUCUGGGAUAAGCGCUGGAAACGGCGUCUAAUACUGGAUAUGUGACGUGACCGCAUGGUCUGCGUUUGGAAAGAUUUUUCGGUUGGGGAUGGGCUCGCGGCCUAUCAGCUUGUUGGUGAGGUAAUGGCUCACCAAGGCGUCGACGGGUAGCCGGCCUGAGAGGGUGACCGGCCACAAUGGGACUGAGACACGGCCCAGACGCCUACGGGAGGCAGCAGUGGGGAAUAUUGCACAAUGGGCGCAAGCCUGAUGCAGCAACGCCGCGUGAGGGAUGACGGCCUUCGGGUUGUAAACCUCUUUUAGCAGGGAAGAAGCGAAAGUGACGGUACCUGCAGAAAAAGCGCCGGCUACUACGUG
Molecule: ribosomal RNA, 468 nt
Filed under: uncultured bacterium
Lineage: Bacteria
Description: partial 16S ribosomal RNA
Rfam family: Bacterial small subunit ribosomal RNA
Source: RNAcentral